GGGGUUGUGGCUCAGUGGUACAGCACUUGCCUAGCAUGCACGAGGCACUGGGUUCGAUCCUCAGCACCA
This 69-nucleotide transfer RNA is filed under the name Ictidomys tridecemlineatus (thirteen-lined ground squirrel). Its description in RNAcentral is "Spermophilus tridecemlineatus (thirteen-lined ground squirrel) tRNA". It matches the Rfam family "tRNA". Rfam says of the family: Transfer RNA (tRNA) molecules are approximately 80 nucleotides in length. Their secondary structure includes four short double-helical elements and three loops (D, anti-codon, and T loops). Lineage: Eukaryota; Metazoa; Chordata; Mammalia; Rodentia; Sciuridae. The record is from Rfam by way of RNAcentral.